GUUUUACAAAACACGCUGUUUCACUGGCCCGCUGAAGUUAAAAUUCCCAUAAAAAUGUGGGGCUAGGAAUGGGGGACGAUAAGACCCUAUAAAUCUUGAUUUAACUAAAAUUAGAAAUAUGUGGUUUUAAAGACUUAGUUGGGGCAACUUAAAUAUAAUAUUCUAAUUGUUUAAUUACUGUACCCCUGAGGGAGAGUAGUUCCCCAUGAAGGAUAAAAAGGGUAGAUACUUUAGGGAUAACAGCGUAAUAAUCUCGGAGAGACCUUAUUUAUGAGAUUGUUUGCGA
This 286-nucleotide ribosomal RNA is filed under the name Siriella gracilipes. RNAcentral's name for it is "partial 16S ribosomal RNA". The record is from RNAcentral. Lineage: Eukaryota; Metazoa; Arthropoda; Malacostraca; Mysida; Mysidae.